UGCCAGCAGCCGCGGUAAUACGGAAGGUGCGAGCGUUAAUCGGAUUUAUUGGGCGUAAAGGGCUCGUAGGCGGUUCAACAAGUCGGUCGUGAAAGCCCGGGGCUCAACUCCGGGACGCCGGUCGAUACUGUUGUGACUAGAGUUCGGUAGAGGUGAGUGGAAUUCUCAGUGUAGCGGUGGAAUGCGCAGAUAUUGAGAGGAACACCAUUAGCGAAGGCGGCUCACUGGGCCGAUACUGACGCUGAGGAGCGAAAGCGUGGGGAGCAAACAGGAUUAGAUA
This 280-nucleotide ribosomal RNA is filed under the name uncultured bacterium. RNAcentral describes it as "partial 16S ribosomal RNA". It matches the Rfam family "Bacterial small subunit ribosomal RNA", at positions 506 to 784 of the family's 1533-position model. The record is from RNAcentral.